AACGCAACUGGCGCCGGUUUACCGGCAUGCCUGUUUCAGUGUGAUAGGAGAGUAAACUAUCAUUAUAAAAUAUAAUGCGAUUGAGGUACAUUUAUGACUUUCUUUAGUUAAAUAUGAAGGUGUGAAAGAUGAGUAACUCUCAAAUUGGCAAACGAAGUAGACAUGCUUGUUCGUGAUAUCGUUUAACCAGUGCUAAAGGUUUUUGCUUAGCUAUAAAUCACAUCUAAUCAAUUAAAUAACUCCAAAUUUGGCAUCAGCAAGCAGACAAUGAUACCCGAUGAACUAAA
This 287-nucleotide unclassified non-coding RNA is filed under the name uncultured fungus. RNAcentral's name for it is "partial contains 5.8S rRNA and ITS2". The record is from RNAcentral. Lineage: Eukaryota; Fungi.